UAGUCCAAGAGGUCACAAAGAGUCGGACAUGACUGAGUAUGAAUGCUUCAGUUACCCACUGUUCCUCCAGACUUUUCUGUGACUAGAAGCUACUUUAAGAAGCAUGGUCCCCUGUGCACAUAUGCAUAUAUUGGACUUCUCCACACUCUUCCUUCCUAAGCAAGCUCAAGAGGUCCCGAGCUGUGCAUUAUUAAGUUCUUCCAAGAGGAUCCAGAUCAGUUAUCUUUUCUGUGUCUUCCUUCAUGAUUUUUCUGGGAGACAUGUACUACUUUGUUAGAGGCCAGUGAUACAAGAAACCUAAUAACCAGCGUUAACCUACAAACGAUAGAUUCCAUCCAAAUGAAGGCCUAAGAUAUAAAUGAAAAUUCCAUGAAUACUGGAAAUACAAAUAGGUGGUAAAAGAAGUCAAGCAAUUACACAGCAAUAAUAGCAGAGCCCUAUAUUGAACAGUUAGGAUUACAUAAAUUCCAACUUUGUUCUUGGUGACUUUAACAGUUCAUGAAUAUCAAGUACAGAAACAAAUGUGCAGUGAAGCUAUUGCUUAAGAUCUUAUUUUUUCAUCCUUUGAUAUUCUUUUUGGUUUUUUUCUUUUUUUUUUUUCCAUGGCUCUUGAUACCCACAUGCCACCUGCCUGGUUAGAGCCUUGAAUUCUGACCAAGUCUGUAUGGACUUAACUCUUCUAGGAACAGCAGGUUGGUGACUCUCAGAAUCUGGAGGUGGUAGCAAGAAACACCCAUCAAAGUAUGAAACCUCAAUGGCAACACCAGAUGCAUCUAAUUAAAUAAAUUUCCAGCAUUUGCUGUGUGUGAAGCACGUUUCCCCGCCCCUUCCCACCACGUGAAUCACUGACAAGAGAAACCCCGAGCCAGCACUCACCCAGGACGACAGAUCUUCCAGCAGAGCCAAAACCUGGUUUCAGCAUCUUCCUCAAAUUAGCUCCACAGGCAGCCACUUCAGAUCAGCCAGUCAGCGGGAGAGAGGGGACUAGUUUGCAAUCCUGCUUUGGAGUGAUUUCAUCUGAAAGACAAUUCUGAAGUCGGCAUCCAGGGAAUGAGGGUAACAAGACCUUGCGGGGCAGGUGGGAGUGGGGAGAGCAUAGAGUCAGAGCUAUGUGACAAUGUGGCUCAGGGCUGGGUUCCCCCCAGCAGCCCGGGUGUUAUCUGCUGACCUUCAGAUAGGUAUUCCUCCCCACUGAAUCUCUCCUCUGGUCCAUUGUGUGUGUGUGUGUGUGUGUGUGUGUAUGAGACAAAGACUCAAGACAACCAUUUGGAGCUGCGGGUUCAGUUUGCAGCCGCAGAACACAGUGAUCCCACUCAUGGGGCUCAAAUGGAUGUCCUUGACUUUCCUGGUGUGAUUCUCAA
This is a long non-coding RNA of Cervus elaphus (red deer), 1361 nucleotides long. RefSeq lists it as uncharacterized. The record is from RefSeq and is a predicted model, not a curated record. The transcript has 3 exons. NCBI's taxonomy places the organism in Eukaryota, Metazoa, Chordata, Mammalia, Artiodactyla, Cervidae.